This is a long non-coding RNA of Passer domesticus (house sparrow), 530 nucleotides long. RefSeq lists it as uncharacterized. Lineage: Eukaryota; Metazoa; Chordata; Aves; Passeriformes; Passeridae. The transcript is spliced from 5 exons. The record is from RefSeq and is a predicted model, not a curated record.
AGGCUGAUUGUCACAGUGAAAUGGAACUGGGAUGUUUAUAGAGAGAGAGCCUUUUACUUGAACUAACUGUGAUUCAGUAGAGGGGGCAGUAUGAUACCCGGAGAGGAGGAUAAUGGUAGAGCACCCUCAGGCUGUUAAAAGUGCCUUCAAACAAUCAUAUUUAUGAAAGAAAGACCAGGCGUUCAUGUUAUACUUCCUGCUCCUUGUGAGGAUGUUUGCAUCCUGAAAACUUUUUCCACUAUUCAGCCAUCUGAGCUGCAAGCAUUUAUUUAUAAAAAUACUCCUUCACAUUUUUUCUGAGGGGCAAGAUCCUAAUUGAGGCCUUUCAGUACCUGAUGGGAGACUACAAGAAAGAUAGAGAGAGACUGUUUACAAGGACAUGAAGUGACAGAACAAGGGGAAAUGGCUUCAGACUCAGAGCAGGUUUAGAUUAGAUUUUUUGAACAAAUUCUUUACUGUGAGAGCCCAGGAAUAUGUUACCCAGAGAAGAUGUGGAUGCUCCAUCCUUGGAAGUGUGCAAGGCCAGGUUG